GGGGGGAGCGGGAUCCUCGGGCUCGUUCCCUCCUCCCGGCUGAGGCGGCGGCGGCCGGUGGCAUCCGGAGCCAUCCGCUGCGACGUUCUGUCUUUUUCCAUGUUCUGGUGAAGGACUUCAUACAUUAAAGGGACUGGCAAGAAUAACCACAUUAACUGUACUCCUGUGACCUACAGGUGAAUUUCACAAUAGACCAGAUGCUACCAAUCCUGGAUAAGGCCAAGAUCAGGAAUAUAUGGGUGGUUGCUCAUGCUAAUCAUGGCAAAUCAACCUUGACAGACUCCUCGGUGUGUAAAGCAGGCACCAUUGCAUCAGACAAAGCCAAAGAAACAUGGUUCACAGACACACAGGAAAAUGAGCAAGAAAGAUCACAAUCAA
Pezoporus occidentalis (night parrot) is the source of this 378-nucleotide long non-coding RNA. RefSeq lists it as uncharacterized. Lineage: Eukaryota; Metazoa; Chordata; Aves; Psittaciformes; Psittacidae. The transcript is spliced from 3 exons. The record is from RefSeq and is a predicted model, not a curated record.